RNAcentral lists this ribosomal RNA (496 nucleotides) under uncultured bacterium. Its description in RNAcentral is "partial 16S ribosomal RNA". It matches the Rfam family "Bacterial small subunit ribosomal RNA", at positions 28 to 506 of the family's 1533-position model. The record is from RNAcentral.
GAUGAACGCUGGCGGCGUGCCUAAUACAUGCAAGUCGAGCGAACAGACGAGGAGCUUGCUCCUUCGACGUUAGCGGCGGACGGGUGAGUAACACGUAGGUAACCUACCUAUAAGACUGGGAUAACUUCGGGAAACCGGAGCUAAUACCGGAUAAUAUUUCGAACCGCAUGGUUCGAUAGUGAAAGAUGGCUUUGCUAUCACUUAUAGAUGGACCUGCGCCGUAUUAGCUAGUUGGUAAGGUAACGGCUUACCAAGGCAACGAUACGUAGCCGACCUGAGAGGGUGAUCGGCCACACUGGAACUGAGACACGGUCCAGACUCCUACGGGAGGCAGCAGUAGGGAAUCUUCCGCAAUGGGCGAAAGCCUGACGGAGCAACGCCGCGUGAGUGAUGAAGGUCUUCGGAUCGUAAAACUCUGUUAUUAGGGAAGAACAAACGUGUAGGUAACUGUGCACGUCUGGACGGUACCUAAUCAGAAAGCCACGGCUAACUACGU